RNAcentral lists this long non-coding RNA (1193 nucleotides) under Mus spretus (western wild mouse). Its description in RNAcentral is "lncRNA (ENSMSPG00010016716.1)". Lineage: Eukaryota; Metazoa; Chordata; Mammalia; Rodentia; Muridae. The record is from RNAcentral.
GUGAGGAAAUUUUUUAUUUACUUUUGUACCCACAUGCACCUGAGCAGACACACAGUAUUCCUGAAAUAGACACACAGCGGAGCCUAUGAUUCCUGAAAUAACAGUUCUGGUCACUGAGCAUCUAAAUCCUAGAUCAAGAACCUGCCUUGAACAAAUAUAGUUUUGGAUGUGUGUAAAGAACAGUGGGGACAAUAAGGCUUGCCUCUCCUAAAAGACCUCAGACCUGCUCAUGAUCCAGCCACUGUCCAGCUCUGGAGGAGCCAGCCCAGACUAGAGUCAAUGUCAGUUUUGUCCAGUGCUCUUCAGCUUGGUAAAUAGCUUCAAUAUCAUCCCUGCUAAGACACGGUCUGCAAUAAGUGCUGAGCGCUCCCUUUCCUUGGCCUUCCAUUUUCUGAGUCAUUCUGAGUAUCUGCCAUGAGUUAACCUACAUGAUUGCUGGCUGCAUGACCCCUUCCCUCUUUAUGCUCAAACAAAUCAAGGGAUGGAUGAGUUUUGAAUGUCCAGCCUGUGGCAGUUGCUCAAUAAAUGUUUGUUGAGUUGAAUUCAGCUAGAAUGUUCCAUUUUCAUGACAAAGCAUCCCAGGGUGAUUACUGCAGCUGUGGAAGCCUUCUGAAAAAUUGAAUCCUUUGGGCUCCUUAGGAGCUCCUGAGGAGGAACAAAGGAACUGAAUGUAGUAAUGCAUUCAGGCCAAGGAAUCAAUCAGAGACUGGCUGAGUAUUACCUAACCGAAAGUUGAUGAGAGUCUGAAGGACCCUCGUCCACACUUGGAAUAUUUUGCUGGUUCAUUUAUAGCAAAUCUUUGGCACCAGACCAUACAAUGUGUAGCUACAGUUCACAGGUUUAAAUAUGCUUCAGCAGCUACCGAGCAGCGUUUUUAAAAAGCAGAAAGGAAACUUGAUAAUUAAAGAUUCAUAAAACAAUCUAGGAAAUCAACAUGGAAAGACCAUCAGUGGUUCUGAAAACUGAACACCAUGUAUAAAUACUGUAUCUCAGAAGGUCCCAUCAAGUCCAAUAGCAGCAGGAGCUGAGAUCCAAGCCUUCAAUAUGAGUCUUUGGAAGAAAUCCACUAUCCGUAUUAUUACAAACAGUGAUGUUAUAGCAUGGCCCAUUGAAACAAGAAAUGCCUGAGUGACAUGCUAAUCCUAAAGGGCUGUCCAAGGAACUUAUUAAUCAAAUAAAGCUUAUUACUAAAG